This 2931-nucleotide ribosomal RNA is filed under the name Escherichia coli. RNAcentral's name for it is "23S ribosomal RNA". It matches the Rfam family "Bacterial large subunit ribosomal RNA". The record is from RNAcentral. Lineage: Bacteria; Pseudomonadati; Pseudomonadota; Gammaproteobacteria; Enterobacterales; Enterobacteriaceae. RNAcentral also lists the same sequence under 1 other name.
GGGUUGUGAGGUUAAGCGACUAAGCGUACACGGUGGAUGCCCUGGCAGUCAGAGGCGAUGAAGGACGUGCUAAUCUGCGAUAAGCGUCGGUAAGGUGAUAUGAACCGUUAUAACCGGCGAUUUCCGAAUGGGGAAACCCAGUGUGUUUCGACACACUAUCAUUAACUGAAUCCAUAGGUUAAUGAGGCGAACCGGGGGAACUGAAACAUCUAAGUACCCCGAGGAAAAGAAAUCAACCGAGAUUCCCCCAGUAGCGGCGAGCGAACGGGGAGCAGCCCAGAGCCUGAAUCAGUGUGUGUGUUAGUGGAAGCGUCUGGAAAGGCGCGCGAUACAGGGUGACAGCCCCGUACACAAAAAUGCACAUGCUGUGAGCUCGAUGAGUAGGGCGGGACACGUGGUAUCCUGUCUGAAUAUGGGGGGACCAUCCUCCAAGGCUAAAUACUCCUGACUGACCGAUAGUGAACCAGUACCGUGAGGGAAAGGCGAAAAGAACCCCGGCGAGGGGAGUGAAAAAGAACCUGAAACCGUGUACGUACAAGCAGUGGGAGCACGCUUAGGCGUGUGACUGCGUACCUUUUGUAUAAUGGGUCAGCGACUUAUAUUCUGUAGCAAGGUUAACCGAAUAGGGGAGCCGAAGGGAAACCGAGUCUUAACUGGGCGUUAAGUUGCAGGGUAUAGACCCGAAACCCGGUGAUCUAGCCAUGGGCAGGUUGAAGGUUGGGUAACACUAACUGGAGGACCGAACCGACUAAUGUUGAAAAAUUAGCGGAUGACUUGUGGCUGGGGGUGAAAGGCCAAUCAAACCGGGAGAUAGCUGGUUCUCCCCGAAAGCUAUUUAGGUAGCGCCUCGUGAAUUCAUCUCCGGGGGUAGAGCACUGUUUCGGCAAGGGGGUCAUCCCGACUUACCAACCCGAUGCAAACUGCGAAUACCGGAGAAUGUUAUCACGGGAGACACACGGCGGGUGCUAACGUCCGUCGUGAAGAGGGAAACAACCCAGACCGCCAGCUAAGGUCCCAAAGUCAUGGUUAAGUGGGAAACGAUGUGGGAAGGCCCAGACAGCCAGGAUGUUGGCUUAGAAGCAGCCAUCAUUUAAAGAAAGCGUAAUAGCUCACUGGUCGAGUCGGCCUGCGCGGAAGAUGUAACGGGGCUAAACCAUGCACCGAAGCUGCGGCAGCGACACUAUGUGUUGUUGGGUAGGGGAGCGUUCUGUAAGCCUGUGAAGGUGUGCUGUGAGGCAUGCUGGAGGUAUCAGAAGUGCGAAUGCUGACAUAAGUAACGAUAAAGCGGGUGAAAAGCCCGCUCGCCGGAAGACCAAGGGUUCCUGUCCAACGUUAAUCGGGGCAGGGUGAGUCGACCCCUAAGGCGAGGCCGAAAGGCGUAGUCGAUGGGAAACAGGUUAAUAUUCCUGUACUUGGUGUUACUGCGAAGGGGGGACGGAGAAGGCUAUGUUGGCCGGGCGACGGUUGUCCCGGUUUAAGCGUGUAGGCUGGUUUUCCAGGCAAAUCCGGAAAAUCAAGGCUGAGGCGUGAUGACGAGGCACUACGGUGCUGAAGCAACAAAUGCCCUGCUUCCAGGAAAAGCCUCUAAGCAUCAGGUAACAUCAAAUCGUACCCCAAACCGACACAGGUGGUCAGGUAGAGAAUACCAAGGCGCUUGAGAGAACUCGGGUGAAGGAACUAGGCAAAAUGGUGCCGUAACUUCGGGAGAAGGCACGCUGAUAUGUAGGUGAAGUCCCUCGCGGAUGGAGCUGAAAUCAGUCGAAGAUACCAGCUGGCUGCAACUGUUUAUUAAAAACACAGCACUGUGCAAACACGAAAGUGGACGUAUACGGUGUGACGCCUGCCCGGUGCCGGAAGGUUAAUUGAUGGGGUUAGCCGCAAGGCGAAGCUCUUGAUCGAAGCCCCGGUAAACGGCGGCCGUAACUAUAACGGUCCUAAGGUAGCGAAAUUCCUUGUCGGGUAAGUUCCGACCUGCACGAAUGGCGUAAUGAUGGCCAGGCUGUCUCCACCCGAGACUCAGUGAAAUUGAACUCGCUGUGAAGAUGCAGUGUACCCGCGGCAAGACGGAAAGACCCCGUGAACCUUUACUAUAGCUUGACACUGAACAUUGAGCCUUGAUGUGUAGGAUAGGUGGGAGGCUUAGAAGUGUGGACGCCAGUCUGCAUGGAGCCGACCUUGAAAUACCACCCUUUAAUGUUUGAUGUUCUAACGUUGACCCGUAAUCCGGGUUGCGGACAGUGUCUGGUGGGUAGUUUGACUGGGGCGGUCUCCUCCUAAAGAGUAACGGAGGAGCACGAAGGUUGGCUAAUCCUGGUCGGACAUCAGGAGGUUAGUGCAAUGGCAUAAGCCAGCUUGACUGCGAGCGUGACGGCGCGAGCAGGUGCGAAAGCAGGUCAUAGUGAUCCGGUGGUUCUGAAUGGAAGGGCCAUCGCUCAACGGAUAAAAGGUACUCCGGGGAUAACAGGCUGAUACCGCCCAAGAGUUCAUAUCGACGGCGGUGUUUGGCACCUCGAUGUCGGCUCAUCACAUCCUGGGGCUGAAGUAGGUCCCAAGGGUAUGGCUGUUCGCCAUUUAAAGUGGUACGCGAGCUGGGUUUAGAACGUCGUGAGACAGUUCGGUCCCUAUCUGCCGUGGGCGCUGGAGAACUGAGGGGGGCUGCUCCUAGUACGAGAGGACCGGAGUGGACGCAUCACUGGUGUUCGGGUUGUCAUGCCAAUGGCACUGCCCGGUAGCUAAAUGCGGAAGAGAUAAGUGCUGAAAGCAUCUAAGCACGAAACUUGCCCCGAGAUGAGUUCUCCCUGACCCUUUAAGGGUCCUGAAGGAACGUUGAAGACGACGACGUUGAUAGGCCGGGUGUGUAAGCGCAGCGAUGCGUUGAGCUAACCGGUACUAAUGAACCGUGAGGCUUAACCUUACAACGCCGAAGCUGUU